Long non-coding RNA from Neopelma chrysocephalum (saffron-crested tyrant-manakin), 297 nucleotides. RefSeq lists it as uncharacterized. The record is from RefSeq and is a predicted model, not a curated record. Lineage: Eukaryota; Metazoa; Chordata; Aves; Passeriformes; Pipridae. The transcript is spliced from 3 exons.
GGUGUGGGGGGGUGGCUCCUCCUUCCCUAGCUACGAGCCAGGUCUGCAAACAGCAAGCCAAGCUCUUAAAUCAAGUGAUUUUGCACUUCUGAGGUUUUUUAAAAGCACAGAAGCUGAGCCCCAUAAAUAAUGCAGCAGAUAUCAGAAAGAAGCUCGAGGUGUAGAAGACAUAGCGGUAAUCACUGGUUAUGUCUACCAGGAGACCUGAAAUGGAAGCCAAAGAGAAGAUGCACACUAAAGGCAUAAAUUGACAUGAAUGUUAAACCUAAAUAAUUCAGUAAAUUGCCAUACACAAAA